UACGAAGGGUGCAAGCGUUACUCGGAAUUACUGGGCGUAAAGGGUGCGUAGGUGGUUGUUUAAGUCUGUUGUGAAAGCCCCGGGCUCAACCUGGGAAUGGCAAUGGAUACUGGACAGCUAGAGUGCGGUAGAGGGUAGUGGAAUUCCCGGUGUAGCAGUGAAAUGCGUAGAGAUCGGGAGGAACACCAGUGGCGAAGGCGGCUACCUGGACCAGCACUGACACUGAGGCACGAAAGCGUGGGGAGCAAACAGG
Molecule: ribosomal RNA, 253 nt
Filed under: uncultured bacterium
Lineage: Bacteria
Description: partial 16S ribosomal RNA
Rfam family: Bacterial small subunit ribosomal RNA
Source: RNAcentral